RNAcentral lists this long non-coding RNA (537 nucleotides) under Ovis aries (sheep). RNAcentral describes it as "lncRNA (ENSOARG00000026311.1)". Lineage: Eukaryota; Metazoa; Chordata; Mammalia; Artiodactyla; Bovidae. The record is from RNAcentral.
AUUUUGCACUGUGAUAAUCACCUAUAACCUGAGAGCAUAUAAAUAUGUGAUUAAUUUAUAUUUUUAUUUUAAAGAACCCAAAUAAAUAUAUGCCAUAUAUUCUGUUAUUUAUGGUAUUUCAAAUUACUCCUUUACAGGUUUAUAGGACUAAUGUGACUUUCCCAAGGUCAGGGAGAGCAAAUGGAAAAGAUUCAAAGCAAUUACCCAGAAACUUAAAGUCAAAACAAAACCAAAAGUGUAAGGAUUCCAACUUUUACGCAAUUGUCCGGAUAUUUGAGUUCUCUUCCAGAGGCUGACAAUAUGGAGCAAGAUACAGGCCUGGUUUUCACUCUCUUGGAGUUCCUAUGGUAGAUGGAGAAAAAUGAUUGAGAAGAUAUCUAGAAAAGUCACUUUGCCUGAAAACUAUAAUCAGAAUUGCAGUGUUUUGCUGGUCAAACCAAGUAAGCAGUGCCCUUUUAAAAAACUAUUCCAUUAUGUGUUAGCUCUGUGUCAGUAUAUACGAGUUAACUGUGGCAUCACAAAACCUGAAAAGCAGGA